AAUGGAUUAUCCUUAAUCUAGGAAUACCAACAUCGAAUCUACGCUCAUGGGACCAUCAUUGGAAGACGGAAUUAUGGUCCAGAUCAUUCCCCUUGUUCCAACAGGGUGACAGAUUUGUUUGAAAGUUCAACUACUCAGGUAAUCUUACGGUCAAAGAGGCUAACAAAUGGCGUAUAAAACUAUCUGCAACAACUGCUUGCCAAUUCGAGCAGAACUUGAUAAAGAUAUACCUGGUAUCGAUUCUCGUUGCCCACCGUGUUUCACGGAAGAUAAAACACUAGACCAUCUUUUGCAUGAGCGGUCUAGUUCAUACCCAAAAGCUACAGGCUUCUGAUAUACAGGGAUGGAUUGUAAGUUGGGUGGGGGAUUUAAAAUUUGAUAGGAUAUUGCAAGUACCUUUGUUCAGUAUAUCAAACCGAGGAAACCAACGCUAACACCAGAGUCAACCAGGAAUCCUUUAUAUCUCCAAACCAAUCACUGCUCCGCUCAAAUACACCUGUGAGUCACCUCUUAGUGUUACCGUUGCCGCAAACAGCAACAGGUCAGGCAAACGAUCAACCCCAAUAUCAUCAGACAAAGAACUUCAGCAGGUUCCAGAUUGCAAUGCAAGUUGUUCCUACGCCAAGCUUUACUGCAUCUUGAUACAGUUUCUAUUUUCUUUUGACCAUGUAUUAAAAAAAAAAAGUGUCAUUCAUUAUAACAGCAAAA
This is a long non-coding RNA of Gossypium arboreum, 708 nucleotides long. RefSeq lists it as uncharacterized. The transcript is spliced from 2 exons. NCBI's taxonomy places the organism in Eukaryota, Viridiplantae, Streptophyta, Magnoliopsida, Malvales, Malvaceae. The record is from RefSeq and is a predicted model, not a curated record.